Molecule: ribosomal RNA, 253 nt
Filed under: uncultured bacterium
Lineage: Bacteria
Description: partial 16S ribosomal RNA
Rfam family: Bacterial small subunit ribosomal RNA
Source: RNAcentral
GACGUAGGGGGCCAGCGUUGUUCGGAAUUACUGGGUGUAAAGGGUUCGUAGGCGGUGUGGCAAGUCGGGAGUGAAGUCUCUGGGCUCAACCCAGAGUCUGCUUCCGAAACUGCUGUGCUUGAGUGUGGGAGAGGCGCGUGGAAUUGCAGGUGUAGCGGUGAAAUGCUUAGAUAUCAGGUGGAACACCAGUGGCGAAGGCGGUGUUCUGGGCCAGUACUGACGCUGAGGCGCGAAAGCGUGGGGAGCGAACAGG